CUCCUGAGUAGAGAUCAGAGUUUCUCACUUUGCUAAAGAAUGUGUUGUGCCAAGCAGCUUUUCCCAGGAAUUAGAGAAAUAAGCCCUCUGCUUCUUUUUGUGCCAAAAUUGUUUUUCUAAAGCUUUACGUUAGAACCAAUAGAAUGAGUGUUUGAGAACCAUUUGUAACUUGGUUCCAUUUCUUCGACCACUAAAGCUUUUUAUUCUCCCUAAAAAUUCACAUUUUCGUGGCUGUUCCUUCUUAGCUUUGUGUUUCUUUUAAAGGAAUAUUAAUGUGUUUUUCAUGGCUUCCUAUUUCCCCAUUAAGUAAUUUUGUAAGCUGAGAGCUGCUCUUUUUGUGCUUCCUGCGGGGUCCAGCAUAGCUGAGUACACUUGGCACUGAGUGUCCUUAAUAACUGAAUUACACAAUGUGGACUUGGGGCUUCUGGUUGUCUGUUCAGUGGGGUCAUUGACGGAUCAGGUAGCUUCCAUGUUCUCUAAGAAAGUCCUUUCACUCACUAAAGAAAACUCAUAGCAAGGUUCUCCCUGCCCCCAUCCCCACAGGGAAGUACUUGGCAAAAAACAUUUUGGGUUUAUAGAUUUCUGAGGCAAAGGCUAUAUCUGUAUAUUUAUAUGCUAUAUAUAUUUGAUGUCUGUUUAAACAAUCUGGUACUUUACAGAACUUAAAUUGUCAUUUUAUGAAAAAUCUACUCCUUCUGCCAGCUGGUAAGGUGUACAUCUGUUUUGCCUGCCUUUGUUUUUCCAAGUAAAAGUGCUGACAACCAAUCAGAAUAUUUAUAGUUGUUAAUUUCUGGACCCUGAAUAGAAAAUAAUAUUAAGGAAAGCUACUUCAUAUAAGAAAGGAAUUUUUACUUAAUAGGAAGCUCUGAGAAGGAAAUGAUGUAGGGUUUCAAAACCAGGUUAAUAGUUACUAGGCUAAUAGUGAGUUAGCCAUAAGCCGAAAAGUAUUCAUCUGUUUUGUAACUUUUGCAGAAAUAACUUAGAAGAACUCUUGGUAAAUGAAAUGGGUCUGAAGGCAGUUUUUUAAACCACCAUCUUCCUAAUAUCUAAUUAAUCUCCUUACUCAGGACUUGGGAGGGCAUGAGUUAUAAGAGAAGAGUAAUCGUAUCUCUAAUACCUGGACACUGCUCUCUCUUGGUUGGUCUGAAUGAUUAGCAGUGUUUAAAUGGAAAGGCUUACUUUAGAAAAAAAAAGGUGCUAUAAGCAGAACAAUCUUAAAACUUCAAUUUUCUGAAAUGAUAGGUGUUAGAAUUUCUAGGUUUAGAUUCA
Molecule: long non-coding RNA, 1269 nt
Organism: Choloepus didactylus (southern two-toed sloth)
Lineage: Eukaryota; Metazoa; Chordata; Mammalia; Pilosa; Megalonychidae
Exons: 2
Source: RefSeq, a predicted model, not a curated record